UACGGAGGGUGCAAGCGUUAUCCGGAUUCACUGGGUUUAAAGGGUGCGUAGGAGGGCAGGUAAGUCAGUGGUGAAAUCUCCAAGCUUAACUUGGAAACUGCCGUUGAUACUAUCUGUCUUGAAUAUUGUGGAGGUGAGCGGAAUAUGUCAUGUAGCGGUGAAAUGCUUAGAUAUGAUAUAGAACACCAAUUGCGAAGGCAGCUCACUACUCAAUCAUUGACUCUGAGGCACGAAAGCGUGGGGAUCAAACAGG
This 253-nucleotide ribosomal RNA is filed under the name uncultured bacterium. RNAcentral describes it as "partial 16S ribosomal RNA". It matches the Rfam family "Bacterial small subunit ribosomal RNA", at positions 524 to 776 of the family's 1533-position model. The record is from RNAcentral.